UGCUCUGCCCUUAGGAGCUGGUUGGACGCUUUGCGCGAUGAUCACGCCUCUUCCGCCAGCAAAUUCGACCUCCCGGCGUCUGGGCGGAGAGUCGCCCAGGGGCAGAGCGCUCAGCUAGGGCGCGUGCGAACUCUUCUGUGGUUUGUAAUCUGGACGUUCUGACUGCUUACUGAUUUGCAUUCCUGGUGCCCCACUCCUUCUAACUACAGUGUCUCUCCAAGAACAAGUGAAGCGUCUCACCAAGAUCAGGAUGAUGCAGAGAACCAUGGGGUUACCUCGGGGCCCCCUGAUGCAAACAACACAAAAACAGGCUGCAUUUGGCAUGAUCAGAAUCCAGAGAUCGUGGGUGGCCAUCCCAUCAAGGGGAAUUUGCCACUUACUCAGGAGGAGGAUACGCUGUGAGACUUGGAAGAAACUCCAGUCCUGCAGUCAGUCUUACAUUCGUGUUAACACGAGUGAAAGGUGGGACGUUAGAAAUCCUACUUUGCAGGCGGACGAGAUGGGGAAACGCAGCUUCUCACGUGCUGUGUGAGCGGCGGUGGGAGGCCGAGGCCUUUUCCUCCCCUUCCCCGAGUUCCGCAGCCGCGUGAGCAGAGCCGCUGGCUAGACCGCUGCACCGAAAGCCUCUUUGCGGAAUUUGCGGUCCUCACUUUCCAGCGUGAACCUGUUCUGUGGAGAGACCCUGACUUUGGAGUCCAGCAAGGUGGGUACGAAGGCCUCCUUUCUCUGCCCUCUGUGACCUGCGUGUCUCAGGAGAAGACCCUAUUUCUUUCUCUAUCUUACGCCAGUAAAUGACAUUAUUUAAAUUAAAGUCAUUACACAUAAUUUUAAAAGCGAAAUAGUUCAAGGCAGGAACUACUAGCAGUCCUCCCUUCGUGUCCGCUUCAUUACUGCUCUCCAGAGGCAGGUGUGUUUAACUGAUUCUGUGGAGUUUAAAAAUGAACAUGUUUCAGGUUGUGGGGGAAGUAAAUUAGGGUUGUUUUUAUUUUUAAAAUUUUUUUCUUGCUUUUUAGGGCCGCCCCUACAGCAUAUGGACGUUCCCAAGCCUAGGGGUCAAAUCGCAACUACAGCUGCCGGCCUACGCCAGAUCCGAGCCGCAUCUGCAACCUACACCACAGCUCACGGCAACCCCGGAUCUUUAACCCACCGAACGAGGCCAGGGUUCCAACCUGUGUACUCAUGGAUGCUAGUCAGAUUCGUUUCUGAUGAGCCACAAGGGGAACUCUGAGAUAAAUUACCUUUGAAGUAACAUAAACACACUAUUAUAUAUGAAAUAGAUAAACAAUAAGGACCUAAUUUAUAGCACAAAGAACUGUACUCAAUAUUUUUAACAACUUACAAUGGAAAAGAAUCUGAAAAAGAACAUAUAUGUGUAACUGAGUCAUUUUGCUGUACACUUGAAACUGACACUGUAAACGAACUAGAGGGAAAAAAACAUAAAAGGAGUUCCCUCAUGGCUCAGUGGGCUAAGGCUCUGGCAUCGGCACUGCUGUGGCUCUGGUUGGAGCUGCGGUAUGAUUUCAAUCCCUGGCACAGGAACGUCUGCAGCUACAGGCAUAGCCAAAAAAAAAAAACACAAAAAAAAAUUACUAACGUGCUUAUUAGCUAUUUCAUGAAUCUUCAGUUUUUGAUAUCUCUUUUUAUGAGAAUUCAGAUUUUUUUUUAUUACUCAGAUGAAUUUAUCACAUCUGUAGUUGUACAAUGAUCAUAACAAUCGGAUUUCACAGGAUUUCCAUCCCACAGCCCAGGCACAUCCCCCCACCCCCAAACUGUCUCCUCCGGAGACUGUAAGCUUUUCAAAGUCUGUGAGUCAGCAUCUGUUCUGCAAAGAAGUUCAGUCUGUCCUUUUUUCAGAUUCCACCUAUCAGUGAAAGCAUUUGAUGUAGGUAGAGAAUUCACAUUUCUUAAACCCACAUAUAUCCCAACAUAGAAACAUAUGAAAAUAUUCCCCCAAUGUAGUAAUGCUCAUUCUCCCAACAUAGUAAUAUAAUCAGUGAUUAAUAAGUUUCAUUACUGUGAUUAUAUAAAUGUUCUCAAAGAUGAGGCAUGUAUUACAAUUAAAUUUCCUUUCUUCCACUUCUUGUUUGCCCUAGAAUUGACAAUUUUGUUUUCAUUUGCUGGGUUUUACAUGCAUGUGUCAUUGACCUCCAGACUCUUCCUAGAAGUAAAAAUCUCAUUCUGUUCAAAACUAUCAAGUAACCUAUCACUUUAUCUUGUUAAGAGACUUUCUCUGGAGGCCCUUCAUUGUUUUGGUGUGGAAAAUACAUCUCGAGGCCUCCUCGGGGGCUCUUAGCCUGGACACUCCCUCGACUGUCUCCCGUCUCCUCUCCUGGAUCACCUUCCUUCUCAGUCCCCGUCUUCCUCUCUUGGUUGACUCUCCCACUUUGCUGGAGCAUAUCCUCUAACACUUCUCUUGUGCAUUUCCAGAAAGUUAAGUUGGUUGUUUUUUGGGGGCCGCACCUACGGCCUAUGGAGGUUCUGAGGCUAGGAGUCGAAUCAGGGCUGUAGCCGCCAGCCUACACCACAGCCACAGCAGAUGUGAGCCACGUCUGCGACCUACACCACAGCUCGUGGCAAUGCUGGAUCCUUAACUCACUGAGUGAGGCCCAGGAUCGAACUUUCGUCCUCAUGAAUACCAGGCAGAUUUGUUAACCACUGAGCCAUGACGGGAACUUCAAGAAGUAACAUUUUUUGAAGCCUUAUAUGUCCAACUUUUUUUUUUUCCCAUCGCAUUUGAUUGCUCAUCUGUCGGGAUACAAUUAUCCCUCAGAGUUUUAAAAAUAUAGCUCCUCUGUCUUCUAGCUUCUCAUAUUGCCAUAAAGAAGUGUGAUGAUGCCCUUGCUCCUAAAGAUUUUUGGAAUUGUCUCUUUGUCCUCAAAGUUAUAAGAGGAAUUCAUGGUGAGUCCUUUGAUCUGGAAAUGGGUCCUUAAGUUCUGAGAGGGUUUUUUUUUAAUUUCUCUAUUUUUUUUUUCUUCCUGAUUUUUCUUGGCAAUUGAUGUUGGAACUCAUGACCUGAUCCUCUGACUUGCUUACAUCUUUGGUUUUAUUUUUCAUUUUUUCCUUCUAGUUUCUGAGAAAUUCAAUUUCAAAACUGUUCAGUUUGCAAGCCAUUUUUGGAAUAUUUUAAUUCCAAAAAAUUUUUUGUUCUCAUAAUGUCUUUUUCUUUUUUUGCUUUUUCAAGGCCCCACCCACCACACAUGGAAGUUCCCAGGCUAGGGGUCAACAGAGAUACAGCUACCGGCCUACACCAGAGCCACAGCAACAUGGGAUCCAAGCUGCGUCUACAACCUACACCACAGCUCAUGGCAACACUGGAUCCUUAACCCACUGAUCGAGGCCAGGGAUCAAACCCUCGUCCUCAUGGAUACCAGGCGGAUUUGUUUCUGCUGUGCCACAAGGAUAAAUACCUAAUGCUUUUUUAAAAAUUUUUUUUAAUUUUUAUUUUUUGCCAUUUUUUGGGCUGCUCCCGCGGCGUAUGGAGGUUCCCAGGCUAGGGGUCGAAUCAGAGCUGUGGCUGCCGGCCCAUGCCACAGCCACAGCAAGGCCGGAUCUGAGCCACAUCUAUGACCUACACCACAGCUCACAGCAACGCUGGAUCCUUAACCCACUGAGCAAGGCCAGGGACCGAACCUGCAAUGUCAUGGUUGCUAGUCGGAUUUGUUAACCACCGAGCCACAAUGGGAACUGCCCUAAUGCUUCUUUUUCAAUGUUUCUUUUAUGGAUGCAAUAUCCUCUCUACUCUCUAAGGAUAUUAUAGGUUUGGUUUUUUUUCUGCUUCUUCACUUCCUAUAAUUCUUGUUGGCUUCUUCAAUUUUUUGGUGUUUUGAUCUCCAGUUUUCAAUGUUAGAGGUGGUUGCUCUUUCAUAUUUAUGAGGGAGGCAGUAGAAAGCAAAUAAAUGCUAUCGGGUAGUCGGUUUGCA
RNAcentral lists this long non-coding RNA (3920 nucleotides) under Sus scrofa (pig). Its description in RNAcentral is "lncRNA (ENSSSCG00070001856.1)". Lineage: Eukaryota; Metazoa; Chordata; Mammalia; Artiodactyla; Suidae. The record is from RNAcentral.